This 3599-nucleotide unclassified non-coding RNA is filed under the name Dimorphilus gyrociliatus. RNAcentral's name for it is "dgyrCDS9413". The record is from RNAcentral. Lineage: Eukaryota; Metazoa; Annelida; Polychaeta; Dinophilidae.
GUAUGCAUCUAAUUAACAUAUGAAAAUAUUAAAGAAGUGAAUAAUAUAUACAAAUGUAUAAAUUGUUUUGUCUUGUUUAUGAAUAGAUUCUAUAUAAUUGCGUAAUGGUAAGAGUUGGAGGUGGUUGGGAUACUCUUGAGCAUUAUUUGGAUAAGCACGAUCCUUGUCGUUGUAUAUCUGGAAGUAAGUAUACUGUAUUUUGUAUAUAUGCAUAAUUCUUAAAUAGCUUUCAUUUUCUUAACGUUAGUGUUUUAUUAUGAUAUUUACGAUAUGUUGAACGAGUUUAAACUUGAAUGGUAUAGCAUGUCUUUGUCGUACCAAGUGUUUUUUGUAUAUUAUCGGAUAAAUAUCGGUCUAUUUCGAUAGUAGCUUUUAUUCGUGAUAUUUCUUUUUUUUGAACAAGGAGAAAUCUCUUCCAAUUUAUUAAUUGAGAUAGGUAAGAAAACGUAUUAAAAUUUUGGGCGGAAUUAGCAAAUGUAGGCGGGGAACGUAUGGGGCGGAAGAGGAAAACUAGUAAAAUUAGGAUAGAGAGGUAGGUUUUGCUUGAAGAAUUGAGGUUAUUUUUUAAUAUAUACCGCCUGAUAUAGGCGCAAUCUAUUUUAGCAGACAGACAGAGGGAGAGAGAGAGAGAAAGAGAGAGAGAGAGAGAGAGCCGCCUUCUUCUCCUUCCUUUGCAGUGUGCUUGUUUAGUUGUAUUGCAGACUCUCCAGUAUACAAUCAAUAUGCUUAAGAAUUAAAUUGAAAACAAAAACUAACAACGGAUUUAAAUUAACGAUAAAAGAACGUUCGAGAACCAUCGUUUAAAGCGAAUUGAAUAUUCAAUAGACGGUUUGUAACUACUAGACGCCGGCAGUUGGAUCGAUUAAAGCAUUCUGUACCGAACGUUUAGUUAUUUCGCUUUUUUGUACGAGAGAUAAUGAAGUUAGAAUGCUUCUGCAGGUGUCGUUCAUUAAACGCUUUAGACGGUGGUAAGUUUAAGUUUGCCUAUUGUAUUGUAUACUAGUUAAGGAGAGAGCCAUCUUGCACAAGAAGGAGAAGUAAGGGUAGGAGCAGCUUAGUAAAAUAGUAGGAGAAGAUUGCUUGAAUAAGGGCUAUGGAGGGUGGUAUACCAGAUUGGAAGGAACUAUGGGAAAAAUAUACAAGUAUGGAUGUCGUAAAUUUUAUACGUAAGCACGAAUUAAACAACGCCAGGAGGGAUCCGAUCGAUUCCCGAUCGAACUCUAUACCAGACGAAUCCUUCCGUGAUUCAGGUUUCUAAUACAUCUCUUUUCCCCUUAAUUAAUAACAUAGUUACAUUACAGAUGGCGUUUUUUUAUUAUUAUUAUAUAGUUUUUUUUUAUUUAAAGAACUUGAUUGGGCACGUUUAAUCUUUUUUUUUUUUUUCCACCUCGUUUUCUUAGUCUUCUCUCUCUCUCUCGAUAUCGCCCAACUAUCUCCUCUUGACAGACAGAGAGAGAGAGAGAGAGAACAAAAAGGGCGAGAUUGUAUUAAAAAGUCUAUGUCUUCUGUAAUCGGAUUAAUUUUUUUAAUAUCCAACAGCCCACCGUUCCAAACCGGUGACAAAUCCUGCUUAUCGGAAACCGGAUACAUCGAAUUACGUUUCCCCGUACUCUCAAAAGAGUAAUAAAACGGGAAUGGAAGGUUAUAAACCUGUAAGAAAACGCUCUGAGGGGGCUAUACAAAGCAUGAGGAAUUCUGAUGUAAGAUCGAGAAGUCUCAAGUCCUCUUCUCCAGAUGUGUUUACUAUUAACCGCGAUUCGUCUGGUAAGCACGCCAUUAUCGAUUCAACAACGACGUCUAAGACGGCUAAAACCGUCAAGCCUAGACCUCUGUUGACACCAGUUGCAACUAUGGACGAAUUUGUUGAUAAUGAUGAAGAAUUAGAGAAGAUUAACGAUGAAAUGAAUAAAUGUUUUAUGGAAUAUAGAGAGAGUCUUAAGUCGUCUAACUCGGAAAUUAACCAAGAACCAUCUAAACAUGAACCUAAGAUUAAAAGUAACCCAAAGAUCAAUGGGAUACACACAUCUAAAAUUGCUGACAAAAUAAAGGAAGCUAUCAAUCCAAAUAAAAUUGGAAACAGGCCUAGUUCCGCUCUUGCGAAUCCUAUUAGGGCAACCGAUGUUGGAGCUAGAACUGCAUAUAUGCAACGACAACCUAUUAGGCCCAAUUCAGCUAUGGGUGAUGUUAAUGGAAGAUUAAUGUCACCGUCACCGGUUUCUUCAAGUAGGUCAAGCGACAGAAGUAGAUCGAGACUAUCGAGUCAAUCUUCUUCGGAAGAUCUAAAGUCGCGAAGAAGAGAGAGAUCGGCUAGCGCAGAUCGUACACGACGAACAUCCACACCGGAAAUACUGAGCCAAAAGUCAUUGUCUUCUACAGCACCCGCAAAGGCUCGCCCAUCCUCUCCAGCCCUUAAUAGGUCAACUACUUCAGUUCACGCUUCCAAUUCAGUUCGGAGUCGGCCGUCGACUCCUGUCUUCUCUGCGAAUGCAACUCCAACAAGAACAAGCCGACCCUCAACUCCAGUUAAUAAUACAACUUCAGCUAGAAGUCGGCCAUCAACUCCGGUCAAUUCUGUACAGAGUUCAAGGAAUAGACCGUCGACUCCAGUUAAUUCCACACAAAAUACAAGAAAUAGGUCGUCAACUCCUUUGAACACUUCGGCUAAUAGAAAUAUAACGAAUGGGGUAAAAAAUCUUCCAUCUAGACCUUCAACACCAGUAAACCAUAGUCAAAACCCUCAAUCGAAACCUGUUGCAAUAAACUCGGCCGCUAAGGUUCAAACUACUAGACCUUCUACACCUGUACGCAAUCGACCUUCGACACCAGUUCAUAAUAGACCUUCGACACCAGUUCGAAAUCGAUCCACAACGCCAGUUGCUACGUCUCAGAGCAGCUUUACCCAGCCUAAAUCCCGACCAAUCACCCCAGUGGUUGGCAGAUCAUCCAGACCUAGAACCUUGCCAAAAGAACCUGAACAGAAUGAACGACCUUCAAGAACUUCUGAAAGGCAAACGAGAAAACCAGCAUUCAAUCGUAGUCAAAGUCAAAAUAGAUUUGAUCUGGCCCAGUCUAAUACGGUUAAUCCACCAAUAAAUUAUCAAAGGCAAAGAUCCCAGUCAGUCUGCAGAAGCGAAAAAUUAGCCGUUGUUAAAUCACCAGAUCCAAGAAUUAAGCCAAGAAAGGACGACCGUCCCGGUAAGACGAAAAUUCCUAUGCCAAUGCACUUCGAGCUUCGGCGUUACGAUUCCGGCGUUGAUAUUCAUGUAUUAUACGAUGGCGCUUGGGCACAAUAGGGGCUUCAAAAAAAAUAAUUCAAUUCGUCCAUUUAUUAUUUAGUCCUUUAUUCUCUUUUCUUCAACUCUAUUUUAUAUUUGGACUUCUUUUUAAAUGCCAAAAUAUUCGAGUAGAGGUGUGGGUAUGAAAAAAUAGCACCGUAUGGAAAAUUUUUUCCAACCCAAAACAAAAACAAUGCUUUUAUUGCACGCUUGCUAUUUGAACAAAUUGUGAUAUGUGCGUAUCUUAAUUCUUCUCCUUCUUUUCUUCCUUUCUUUUUCAUUUCUUUUCGUAUUCUUAAUUAAUAUUACUAUUGCAUAAUAAUC